UUUCAGCCAGGGAAAGAAAGCGAAAAGUGACGGUACCUGCAGAAGAAGCGCCGGCUAACUACGUGCCAGCAGCCGCGGUAAUACGUAGGGCGCAAGCGUUGUCCGGAAUUAUUGGGCGUAAAGAGCUCGUAGGCGGCUUGUCACGUCGGUUGUGAAAGCCCGGGGCUUAACCCCGGGUCUGCAGUCGAUACGGGCAGGCUAGAGUUCGGUAGGGGAGAUCGGAAUUCCUGGUGUAGCGGUGAAAUGCGCAGAUAUCAGGAGGAACACCGGUGGCGAAGGCGGAUCUCUGGGCCGAUACUGACGCUGAGGAGCGAAAGCGUGGGGAGCGAACAGGAUUAGAUACCCUGGUAGUCCACGCCGUAAACGGUGGGCACUAGGUGUGGGCAACAUUCCACGUUGUCCGUGCCGCAGCUAACGCAUUAAGUGCCCCGCCUGGGGAGUACGGCCGCAAGGCUAAAACUCAAAGGAAUUGACGGGGGCCCGCACAAGCGGCGGAGCAUGUGGCUUAAUUCGACGCAACGCGAAGAACCUUACCAAGGCUUGACAUACACCGGAAAGCAUCAGAGAUGGUGCCCCCC
RNAcentral lists this ribosomal RNA (578 nucleotides) under Streptomyces tendae. Its description in RNAcentral is "bacterial SSU rRNA". It matches the Rfam family "Bacterial small subunit ribosomal RNA", at positions 434 to 1017 of the family's 1533-position model. Lineage: Bacteria; Bacillati; Actinomycetota; Actinomycetes; Kitasatosporales; Streptomycetaceae. The record is from RNAcentral.